AGUUUUUGUAUUUUUAGUAGAGACAGGGCUUGACUAUGUUGGUGAGGCUGGUCUUGAACUCCUGACCUCAUGAUCCGCCUGCCUCGGCCUCCCAAAGUGCUGGGAUUACAGGCAUGAGCCACUGUGCCUGGCUGAAAAUGUCUAUUUUUAAGUAAGUCUGCUUUUACUUUCUUGGAAUCCUCCAAGAAAAACGUUAUAAUCUUAGCCUAAUUUUACCAAAUGAAUAUUAUUCAAAUUUUUCAAUAUCUGUUAAAUUAUAUUCAGCUUGUUGCUGAAUAUAAGCCAAUUAAAAGUUAGUAUAUACCUGCCAGAGGAGAUUAUUUAGAUUCUAAACCUGACUGAGGGCUAGACCUCAAGUAAACAAUAUGCAUGGCCAACAGUGUAUCAUAAAGAAAAGAAAUGAUCAUGAUUGAACUGUUUAAUAACAUAAAACAAUAAAAUGUAAUUUUAAGUUCUGUAAACAAGUAGACCAAUCAUCUCCACUGGAUUAUGCCAGGGCACCUUGUGACCCAUAAAAUAUUCAGAUAGCAUAUUAUAUCUCAAAUGCACAUAAUUUAGCUCAAAAUGAAAUAAUAUAAUAUAUAUAAAGCAUUCAAGUGACAAUAACUUUGCUUAUCCUCUUAUAACAGAGAAGAGUUAUUUAGGGGAUGAUUUGAGUAAGUCAGUUCACUUAAGAAGCCAUUCUAAGAUAUCUGACUAGAUGCCUUUUCCGUUGAAUGCAUUUCCUUUAAUAAGUGCAAGAAUUCAAAAGCAUUCCAUUGAACCAAGAGCUGCUUCAGAGCUCAGAAGUGAGUGGUCAAUACCCAUUUGUUGCUACAGCUGCCAGUGAUGGUGAUGAGUGUAUGUUUCUUUCUUGAGACAGGGUCUCACUUUGUCACCCAGGCUGGGGUGCAGUGGAGUGAUCUCGGCUCACCGCAACCUCUGCCUCCCAGGCUUAAGCGAUCCUCUCGCCUCAGACUCCUGAGUAGCUGGGACUACAGGUGUGCACCACCACGCCCAGCUAAUUUUUGUAUUUUUUGUAGAGAGGGGGUUUCACCAUGUUGCCCAGGCUCAUCUCGAACUCCUGAUCUCAAGCAAUCCCGUCUCCGUCUCCCAAAGUGCUGGGAUUACAGCAGGGAGCCACCGUGCCCAGCUGAGUAUAUGUUUUUAACCCUCUGAAAGACAUUUUGUUUUUUUGAGACGGGAAUCUCACUCUGUUGCCUAGGGUGGUGUGCAGUGGCAUGAACAUGGCUCACUGCAGCUUCAACUUCCUGAGUUCAAGUGAUCCUCCUGUCUCAGCUUUGCAAAUAGCUGGGACCACAGGUGUGUGUCACCAUGCCCAGCUAAUUUAAAACAAAUUUUUUUUUGCAGAGACGGGAUCUUGCUUUGUUCCCCAGGCUGGUCUUGUAUUCUUGGGCUCAAGCAAUCCUCCUGCCUCGGCCUCUCAAAGUGCUGGGAUUGCAGGUGUAAGCCCUGGUGCCUCGUCCUUCAAGACAAAUAUGUCUUUAAACUAAGAGCUUAACAGAGGUCCCCCAACUUUCUCUGUUCACAGCAAUCUUAGUGUUUCAGUAACUUUUAUGCCAAAAUAAAUAUCCAACUCCUCUUUAGUUAGUUAGGUUCAAACAACUUAUGAAGCAUUUCUGCCCUUAGUAGCUUGUCAUAUUAUUUUGGAGAAAAGAAGCCACAUAAAUUGAGAAAUUUUUUUUUUUUUUUUUUUUUGAGACGGGCUCACUCUGUUGCUCAGGCUAAAGUGCAGUGGUGUGAUCUCAGCUCACUGUAACCUCCACCUCCCAGGUUCAAUCGAUUCUCCUGCCUCAGCCUCCCAAGUAGCUGGGGCUAGAGGCACAUGCCUCACCACACCCAGCUAAUUUUUGUAUUUUUUGGUAGAGACGGGGUUUCACUGUGCCAGGCUGGUCUUGAACUCCUGGCCUCAAGUGAUCCACCCGCCUCCCAAAGUGUGGGGAUUACAGGCAUGAGCCACCGCGUCCGGCCUAAUUUCAUUUUUGAUUACAACGAAUGACUUACUAAUGGGGUGUGUGUGCCUGUUAGGCACUGCACAGCUUUUUGUACCUUGGAAUCCGAACGGACGCCACCACCCUCAUCUCCUGUUCAAGUUGAUUUUCUCUGGGUUCUUGCUUCUUAUCACCCAAACCUCCGCAAGCUCAGCUUCCCAGAUAUUUCAUCAAAGAGAAUGCAGCACAGCCUAAUUUGAAACUUAACAAUCUUAGCUAAUAGUUAAGCAUUAAUAGGACAGAUGUUCAGUGCCACUGUAUUUUCUUUGAAAAUUAAAAAAAUCCUGCGGCCUCCCUGUGAGUUUGUGGAAGUGCCCUGGGAACGAAACAUCUUCACCAAAUCCCCGAUUCUCACCCGGCUCCACCCCUCAGUUUAUUUAAAGCUACAGCUGAAGCUGCUUGGUUACAGAUCAAAUAAAAUCACCAAAGAGAAUUGCUAAGCCUGAUUAUGUCUUCACUUUGAGGACCAUUUUAACAGUGUGUUUUGAAAGCUGUGCAACAAUUACCAGGUCACUAGCAAGAAGUUCUAAAAAUAAACUUGACAAUACAGGCUUAAAGUACUGUCCCACAGGUAUAGGACAGUAUUGUAGCUAGCAGGGCUGGUGAUCAGAUUGCACCUUAGCUUGUUCUUUCUGGCUGUGAUGUGGAGGGUAAGUCAGGAAGGGAGGCCCGUGCUGCAGUCCUGAGAUGGUUACAGGACCUGAGGUGGGGCCCGUGGGGAUGGCGAGGACCCGAACAAGAUGUUUAUGAAGUGAGGUCAACGGGCUAGGGUCUACUGGGCUGUGGGGCAGUAGGGCAAGGAGAAUGGAGACAGCCCAUGCCCACCUGGGUGGAUGUAUCCAGCCACCCCUCUCACCCGUGACUGGGAGUGAAGGAAAGCAAGGACACUUGACCUCUUUGCCCGACUUCUUCCUCAUUUCUCUUCUCCAUCCUACUCUAGGCUGCAAGGGGAGGGCUUUCACCUCCUCCUAUAACGCAGGGAUUUCCCUCACGUUGUAGCCUGAGUUCUCUGUAUUCAACAGGUAAUCAAGUAUGGUACCCCUGGUUCUUGCCAUGUUGAUGUCAGUUUAAGAGAUUUAAAAACUCUUUUCUUUCUGAGUAAAGCCUGGCUUUCCAGAAGAAAAUCUGGAAACUCAAAAAUCCUGUUUUGUGCUGGAGACUCAAAAAUCCUGUUUUGGAAGUCAAUUGCUGAAUGUUGACUUCUUUCAUUUGUUUAUUAAAAAAAAAAAUACAGACAGGGUCUUGCUAUGUUGCCCAGGCUGGUUUCGAACUCCUGGCCUCAAGUGAUCCUCCCCCUUGGCCUCCCAAAGUGUUGGGAUUAUAGUUGUGAGCCACCCAUGCCUGGCCUUGACUUCUUUCAGUUUCUAUACCCCCUCACUCCAGACUGAUGCUGUCAUUGCACUGUCUUGUUUUCUUCAGAACACUGAUCACUAUCGAAAUUAUUUAUUUGCCUUCUGUCUCCUCCCAUUAAAAUCUAAUGGGAGAUUGGCUGGGCAUGGUGGCUCACGCCUGUAAUCCCAGCACUUUGG
RNAcentral lists this long non-coding RNA (3520 nucleotides) under Homo sapiens (human). RNAcentral's name for it is "HSALNT0309492". The record is from RNAcentral. Lineage: Eukaryota; Metazoa; Chordata; Mammalia; Primates; Hominidae.